RNAcentral lists this ribosomal RNA (504 nucleotides) under uncultured bacterium. RNAcentral's name for it is "partial 16S ribosomal RNA". It matches the Rfam family "Bacterial small subunit ribosomal RNA", at positions 355 to 874 of the family's 1533-position model. The record is from RNAcentral.
UGGGGAAUCUUGCACAAUGGGCGAAAGCCUGAUGCAGCGACGCCGCGUGCGGGAUGAAGGCCUUCGGGUUGUAAACCGCUUUCAGCAGGGACGAGGCGAAAGUGACGGUACCUGCAGAAGAAGCCCCGGCUAACUACGUGCCAGCAGCCGCGGUAAUACGUAGGGGGCAAGCGUUAUCCGGAUUCAUUGGGCGUAAAGCGCUCGUAGGCGGUCUGUUAGGUCGGGAGUUAAAUCCGGGGGCUCAACCCCCGCUCGCUCUCGAUACCGGCAGACUUGAGUUUGGUAGGGGAAGGUGGAAUUCCUAGUGUAGCGGUGGAAUGCGCAGAUAUUAGGAAGAACACCAGUGGCGAAGGCGGCCUUCUGGGCCAUAACUGACGCUGAGGAGCGAAAGCUAGGGGAGCAAACAGGAUUAGAUACCCUGGUAGUCCUAGCCGUAAACGAUGGACACUAGGUGUGGGGGAGUAUUUCUUCCGUGCCGCAGCUAACGCAUUAAGUGUCCCGCCU